Molecule: ribosomal RNA, 301 nt
Filed under: uncultured bacterium
Lineage: Bacteria
Description: partial 16S ribosomal RNA
Rfam family: Bacterial small subunit ribosomal RNA
Source: RNAcentral
CAGCCGCCGCGGUAAUACGUAGGGUGCAAGCGUUAAUCGGAAUUACUGGGCGUAAAGCGUGCGCAGGCGGUUAUAUAAGACAGAUGUGAAAUCCCCGGGCUCAACCUGGGAACUGCAUUUGUGACUGUAUAGCCAGAGUACGGCAGAGGGGGAUGGAAUUCCGCGUGUAGCAGUGAAAUGCGUAGAUAUGCGGAGGAACACCGAUGGCGAAGGCAAUCCCCUGGGCCUGUACUGACGCUCAUGCACGAAAGCGUGGGGAGCAAACAGGAUUGAUACCCCGGUAGUCCCUGUCUCUUAUACA